Molecule: non-coding RNA, 96 nt
Filed under: Licmophora paradoxa
Lineage: Eukaryota; Bacillariophyta; Fragilariophyceae; Licmophorales; Licmophoraceae
Source: RNAcentral
ACAAUGGUUCGGUUGAUCCAGUACGAAAAUACGAAAGCGAAUCUCGUGAGAAAUUUGCAGUUACUCCGUUGGUUGUCGUUGCAGUGAUUUUGAUCU